RNAcentral lists this long non-coding RNA (2499 nucleotides) under Ovis aries (sheep). RNAcentral's name for it is "lncRNA (ENSOARG00000025517.1)". The record is from RNAcentral. Lineage: Eukaryota; Metazoa; Chordata; Mammalia; Artiodactyla; Bovidae.
UAAGCAUUUAUAUGUGCAACUUUGUCCUUAUUUUCAGUUUUCCUUGAUAUUUGCUUUAAUGAUAUUUGUAGGACAUACAGGGCAGUUUUGUUACUGACCUGAACUUGGGUUCACUCACCUGAUGCGCAGCAGUCAAUCUACUGACAGUGGGUCAUGCUAAAGGAAAGUACAGCGUUUAUUGGCAGGGCACCAAGCAAGGAGAAUAGGCACCUAAUGCUCAGAGGACCUGAACUCCUUGCUUGAUGGCCUGCAAAUUAACACUGUAUGGUGGGCAGAAUUGGGGAAGCAGGGGCAGGGCCAUAGAUCCCAUAGCAACAAAUGCACCUUCACCUGCUCAGGUAGAAGCUGAGGAAGGAGGAAUUGUCUCGCUCUUAUAUCGGACAGAGCACCCAUAUUGGUCAGAGAACCGCUUAUGUUCAGGCCAGGCAUUCACACUGAGGCAGAUUCUCAUUGGAGGAAUACAUGCCCGAGAUCAGCCAGCAGGAUUCAUGUGGACAUGCUCUCCCUUUUCAAAUUCAGACUUGUUUAAUUGGAAAAUAAACCAACCUAUUGGGAUGACCGUACCAGGAUGGAAAAUUCAUUCUCCUCCAUCUUUGGCACCCACAGUCCAAACUGGGUCAGAGCUUCCUAACUACUCCAUUGGCUGAGGAAGAGAUAAGGAUGGUAAUAGAAAACGCUUGCGAAGAGGCAGGUAGAAUGCAUGUUGCUGUCUCGGGCAAUCCUCUCCCAGCACCAGCAGCAAAAGCAACUCCCACCACAGAUCCAGACUGGGAGGAGAAUGACCUAGGAGAUAAAGCUGGCAUUGAGCAUCACAAGGAGUGCAUCAUGGUAGGGCUCCAAAAGGGAGAACCAAUACAGGAGUUUUCAUAAGGUGCAAGGAAUGUGCAAACAGCCACAGUAAAACCCCUGAGUUUGGGGAGAGAAUGUACAGGGCGUAUCACCAACAUACAGAUAUGAAUUUAGAUAAUCUGGAGAAUUUCAGACCCUGUGGCUCAGAGUGCCCCAGAUAUCUAGAAAUUGUGCAAAAGGUAGAAGGUCUUUUUCUGCUUCUGAUACCUCCUUUGGUGUAAUAGAAACUGCUUUCGGUUUCUCCCAGUCAGGAGGGCAUACAAGAACAAAAAAGACCCUUUAAAUGAAGCAGCAGAUGCCCAUUUUGGCAGCGAAACUCACUGGGCAGAGAAACGGGGAGACAAGAAAUCUGAGCAGAGAUAAGAUUCCAGGGACCCAAGAGAGUGAAGGGUAGCCCUCAGAAAAGAGACCCCUAAAAGGGACAUGUUAAAGUGCAUCCCCAGCAGUGCUUAUUGAAAGCCAAGAAAGCCACUGAAAAAAAAAAUCUGUCCCAACUUAAAAACAAAAACCAGAAGAGGAGGAGAAAUCAUUCUUCAUGCUGGAGACAAGAGAGAGUGAGGAAAGCCAGGGAGUUCACUUGGGGAAAUAGGCCCCAUCCCACCUCCCACCAGGUCACCCUUUUUUGGGAAACAGACAACUGACUUUCUGAUUGGUACUGGAGCCACUAGCUCAGUUUUGAACAUGAGUUAACCCCAUAACAAGAGCCAUGUCAAGCGGAGUUUACAGAAUGCCUCUCCCAAAACUGCUUUGCAGCCCCUAGAUGAGGUGCUUAACUUAAAACACACUUUUAUAUAAAUGCCAGAGAGCCCAGUCUCAUUGUUCAGGUGAGAUUUAUUAUGCGAAAAUGGCUUUCACUCUGAAUAUAGAGGGAAUGUAUAGACUGAAUAAAAAGGAAAUACCAGAACAAGCCUUUGCCUUGAACGCAGCCAUCCUGUCAAGGGAUGGAGCCACUAGCACCCGUGAAGACAUCCUGUGCCAGGGAAGCCUGAGAGCAUAGGCUGAUUAGGGGGCAGGUACAGCAAGGAAGGCCAUAGCAGUGAAGGUGAAACUGAAAGUGGACACUAAGACUCUGAGCUUAAGGCAAUACCCUUUAAAGGAGCAAGCAAGACAGGGAUGCAGACUUUGAUAAACUGGAUUUCAAAAAUACCUGCUUAUUUUCCUCCCGCAGUCAACUCACGGGCUUCCCAUGUGUCAGUAGCGGUUAUUCUGCCUGCCAGUGCAGGUGAUGUGAGAGACAUGGGCUCGAUCCUGUGUUGGGAAGAUCCCCAGGUGUUGGGCUCAGCAACCCACUCGCGUAUACUUGCUUGGAGAAUCCCAUGGACAGAGGAGCCUGGUGGGCUACAGUCCACAGGGUCGCAAAGAGAUGGACAUGACUAAAAGCAACUCAGCAUGCAUGCAGGCCUUCACCGUAUAAUACUCGCAUCCUGAAUUUACGAAGCCAGGCACUGAAGAACACUGAUUCAUUCAGGACAUAAGAGCAUAAAUCAGAUAGUGAAAGAUACCCAAACUGUAUUUGAAUACUUAUAUUCAAAUUGACUAUCUUAACCUGAAGAUUAUUGUUAGACUUAGCAGAGGUCUUUUUCUAUAUAACUUUGACUCUUGAAUCCCAAGAGUUAUUUGCAUUUGUAAGGAAGAUCAGAAAAUCAAAGC